Molecule: ribosomal RNA, 397 nt
Filed under: uncultured bacterium
Lineage: Bacteria
Description: partial 16S ribosomal RNA
Rfam family: Bacterial small subunit ribosomal RNA
Source: RNAcentral
AUACGUAGGUGGCAAGCGUUGUCCGGAGUUAUUGGGCGUAAAGCGCGCGCAGGCGGUCCUUUAAGUCUGAUGUGAAAGCCCACGGCUCAACCGUGGAGGGUCAUUGGAAACUGGGGGACUUGAGUGCAGAAGAGGAAAGUGGAAUUCCAAGUGUAGCGGUGAAAUGCGUAGAGAUUUGGAGGAACACCAGUGGCGAAGGCGACUUUCUGGUCUGUAACUGACGCUGAGGCGCGAAAGCGUGGGGAGCAAACAGGAUUAGAUACCCUGGUAGUCCACGCCGUAAACGAUGAGUGCUAAGUGUUAGGGGGUUUCCGCCCCUUAGUGCUGCAGCUAACGCAUUAAGCACUCCGCCUGGGGAGUACGGUCGCAAGACUGAAACUCAAAGGAAUUGACGGGG